CUACAGGCUUAACACAUGCAAGUCGAGGGGCAUCAGGAAGAAAGCUUGCUUUCUUUGCUGGCGACCGGCGCACGGGUGAGUAACACGUAUCCAACCUGCCCUUUACUCGGGGAUAGCCUUUCGAAAGAAAGAUUAAUACCCGAUAGCAUAAUGAUUCCGCAUGGUUUCAUUAUUAAAGGAUUCCGGUAAAGGAUGGGGAUGCGUUCCAUUAGGUUGUUGGAGAGGUAACGGCCCACCAAGCCUUCGAUGGAUAGGGGUUCUGAGAGGAAGGUCCCCCACAUUGGAACUGAGACACGGUCCAAACUCCUACGGGAGGCAGCAGUGAGGAAUAUUGGUCAAUGGGCGCUAGCCUGAACCAGCCAAGUAGCGUGAAGGAUGAAGGCUCUAUGGGUCGUAAACUUCUUUUAUAUAAGAAUAAAGUGCAGUAUGUAUACUGUUUUGUAUGUAUUAUAUGAAUAAGGAUCGGCUAACUCCGUGCCAGCAGCCGCGGUAAUACGGAGGAUCCGAGCGUUAUCCGGAUUUAUUGGGUUUAAAGGGAGCGUAGGUGGACUGGAAAGUCAGUUGUGAAAGUUUGCGGCUCAACCGUAAAAUUGCAGUUGAUACUGUCAGCCUUGAGUACAGUAGAGGUGGGCGGAAUUCGUGGUGUAGCGGUGAAAUGCUUAGAUAUCACGAAGAACUCCGAUUGCGAAGGCAGCUCACUGGACUGCAACUGACACUGAUGCUCGAAAGUGUGGGUAUCAAACAGGAUUAGAUACCCUGGUAGUCCACACAGUAAACGAUGAGUACUCGCUGUUUGCGAUAUACAGUAAGCGGCCAAGCGAAAGCAUUAAGUAUUCCACCUGGGGAGUACGCCGGCAACGGUGAAACUCAAAGGAAUUGACGGGGGCCCGCACAAGCGGAGGAACAUGUGGUUUAAUUGGAUGAUACGCGAGGAACCUUACCCGGGCUUAAAUUGCAGUGGAAUGAUGUGGAAACAUGUCAGUGAGCAAUCACCGCUGUGAAGGUGCUGCAUGGUUGUCGUCAGCUCGUGCCGUGAGGUGUCGGCUUAAGUGCCAUAACGAGCGCAACCCUUAUCUUUAGUUACUAACAGGUUAUGCUGAGGACUCUAGAGAGACUGCCGUCGUAAGAUGUGAGGAAGGUGGGGAUGACGUCAAAUCAGCACGGCCCUUACGUCCGGGGCUACACACGUGUUACAAUGGGGGGUACAGAAGGCAGCUAGCGGGUGACCGUAUGCUAAUCCCAAAAUCCUCUCUCAGCUCGGAUCGAAGUCUGCAACCCGACUUCGUGAAGCUGGAUUCGCUAGUAAUCGAGCAUCAGCCACGGCGCGGUGAAUACGUUCCCGGGCCUUGUGCACACCGCCCGUCAAGCCAUGGGAGCCGGGGGUACCUGAAGUACGUAACCGCAAGGAUCGUCCUAGGGUAAAACUGGUGACUGGGGCUAA
This 1441-nucleotide ribosomal RNA is filed under the name uncultured organism. Its description in RNAcentral is "SSU rRNA". It matches the Rfam family "Bacterial small subunit ribosomal RNA". The record is from RNAcentral.